Molecule: ribosomal RNA, 395 nt
Filed under: uncultured bacterium
Lineage: Bacteria
Description: partial 16S ribosomal RNA
Rfam family: Bacterial small subunit ribosomal RNA
Source: RNAcentral
AUACGUAGGGAGCGAGCGUUGUCCGGAAUUACUGGGUGUAAAGGGAGCGUAGGCGGGACGGCAAGUCAGAUGUGAAAUCUGGAGGCUCAACCUCCAAACUGCAUUUGAAACUGCUUUUCUUGAGUAUCGGAGAGGUAAUCGGAAUUCCUUGUGUAGCGGUGAAAUGCGUAGAUAUAAGGAAGAACACCAGUGGCGAAGGCGGAUUACUGGACGACAACUGACGGUGAGGCGCGAAAGCGUGGGGAGCAAACAGGAUUAGAUACCCUGGUAGUCCACGCUGUAAACGAUCAAUACUAGGUGUGCGGGGACUGACCCCCUGCGUGCCGCAGUUAACACAAUAAGUAUUGCACCUGGGGAGUACGGCCGAAAGGUUGGAACUCAAAUGAAUUGACGGG